UUGCUCAUUUUGGCACUAUAUAUAGUAAAAUUGGAAUGAUACAGAGAAUAUUGGCAUGGCCCUUGUGCAAGGAUGACAUGAAAACUCAUGAAAUGUCCCACAUUUCA
This is a small nuclear RNA of Fukomys damarensis (Damara mole-rat), 107 nucleotides long. The record is from Ensembl. NCBI's taxonomy places the organism in Eukaryota, Metazoa, Chordata, Mammalia, Rodentia, Bathyergidae.